GAAUAGUCACAUAAGCCUCAUUUGUCCUAUUGAGCAGAGAAGAAAUUUGUCCCAGGCUUUUACAUUUUGAUGAUUUCUGCAAUGCUGAAGGAUCCAUUUUUUGAUGGAGCUAUACACUGCAAAGAACGUAGGUUAAUAAUCCCUACCCUUCUUCACAAUAUAGUAUCUAGCAAUGGAGCAAAGAUUCUUCAGGAAAUAUUAGGAAAUGUCUUUUUCCUCAGCGGGAAUUUGCAGAAAUCUUGUGGAUUUAAGGAAGAUUCCAUGUCUGAAAUCAUGAAGAGCUCACACCUAAAGCUCAAACAGCA
RNAcentral lists this long non-coding RNA (305 nucleotides) under Numida meleagris (helmeted guineafowl). RNAcentral describes it as "lncRNA (ENSNMEG00000009554.1)". The record is from RNAcentral. Lineage: Eukaryota; Metazoa; Chordata; Aves; Galliformes; Numididae.